RNAcentral lists this ribosomal RNA (508 nucleotides) under uncultured bacterium. RNAcentral's name for it is "partial 16S ribosomal RNA". It matches the Rfam family "Bacterial small subunit ribosomal RNA", at positions 28 to 507 of the family's 1533-position model. The record is from RNAcentral.
GACGAACGCUGGCGGCGUGCCUAAUACAUGCCAGUCGAGCGCAGGAAGUCGACGGAACCCUUCGGGGGGAAGUUGAUGGAAUGAGCGGCGGACGGGUGAGUAACACGUAAAGAACCUGCCCUCAGGUCUGGGAUAACCACGAGAAAUCGGGGCUAAUACCGGAUGGGUCAUCGGACCGCAUGGUCCGAGGAUGAAAGGCGCUUCGGCGUCGCCUGGGGAUGGCUUUGCGGUGCAUUAGCUAGUUGGUGGGGUAAUGGCCCACCAAGGCGACGAUGCAUAGCCGACCUGAGAGGGUGAUCGGCCACACUGGGACUGAGACACGGCCCAGACUCCUACGGGAGGCAGCAGUAGGGAAUCUUCCACAAUGGACGAAAGUCUGAUGGAGCAACGCCGCGUGAACGAUGAAGGCCUUCGGGUCGUAAAGUUCUGUUGUAAGGGAAGAACAAGUGCCGCAGGCAAUGGCGGCACCUUGACGGUACCUUGCGAGAAAGCCACGGCUAACUACGUG